Non-coding RNA from Punica granatum (pomegranate), 865 nucleotides. NCBI's taxonomy places the organism in Eukaryota, Viridiplantae, Streptophyta, Magnoliopsida, Myrtales, Lythraceae. The record is from RefSeq and is a predicted model, not a curated record.
UUGGAUUGUGAAUCCAAUUUAAUUAGGUCCAUUAUUUUAAUAGUUUAGGUGUCGCACCGGUGUUUCCUUCGAGAGUUAGCCGCUAGCACCGUUGAUCUCGAAGAUCAAUCGACGAAGUCGGUAUGGAUACCAGUAAAUGCAUCACGUGUGGGGCGCUCGAUCGACGAAUUAAUAUUAACUAGGCCCCAUGAAACUAGCAACCCGAUUCGAAGUUCGUGGCAAAAUCGGAAUAAACAGCCGCUAGUGGGUUGGCAAAUCGAGGAGAGAAUUAUUGGAUGUUUCCUAGCCGGGCUAAUCUUGCAAGGAAACAAUUGAGUGCAUAAAGUUGGCAGCUUACAUGAGGAAGUUUCCUGAUUUCUUUCCUAGAUGUGGCCGGUUACGAUCCUGGAUGUGGCUUCAUUCGACAAGAUCCUUAAUCUAAGGGAAUGUUUACCAAGAGAGAGAAUAUAUAUAUAUAUAUAUAUAUGACUUGAUUGGAGGACAAGCUAGAAGAGGAUGACUAUAUACAUGGGGAUCUAUGGCACUAAAUGAGGAAUGGAAGAUUGCAUGCAUGAAUGCUUCUCUGGACGUGCACAAAUGGGAUAAAAUUCAUUUCCUUGCAUUUUCUUUAUAAUUAGGAAUAAUUGGAGAUCGCUCUCCAAGACUAGCUAGAAUAUUAUAUCUUUCCGAGUUUUAGCAAGUAGAUUAGGCAAUUAGUAGAUAGUUACUUGCUCUCUUUAUUUUGUUAGAAUAAUGCUAAAUAUUACUCAGAUUAAGUCUCCUAGGUCCAACCUAUGAGAGCAAACAUGGCCAUCCAUCGUAACCCUCUCCGCGACAACACAACAACAUGAUGCUUAUCUAAUCUAUCUUUACAUUCAUCUAUUCA